UGCCCGUUUAAACCAGUUUCACUUCAAGGAAACCAUGGCAUUUCCUCUAAGUCCUGUAACAUAGCUGUUAAACCACAGAGCACUGACCCAUAAUGCUGCCCAGCUGUAGGUUGAUCAGGUUAUGGUCUCCUUAGAGACCUGGGGCCGUAGCUAUCGACCCCCCCCGGGGCAGUAGGUAUCGACCCCCCCGGGGCGGUAGCUAUCGACCCCCCCGGGGCGGUAGCUAUCGUCCCCCCCGGGGCGGUAGCUAUCGACCCCCCCGGGGCGGUAGCUAUCGACCCCCCCGGGGCGGUAGCUAUCGACCCCCCCGGGGCGGUAGCUAUCGACCCCCCCGGGGCGGUAGCUAUCGACCCCCCCCGGGGCGGUAGCUAUCGACCCCCCCCGGGGCGGUAGCUAUCGACCCCCCGGGGCGGUAGCUAUCGACCCCCCGGGGCGGUAGCUAUCGACCCCCCGGGGCGGUAGGUAUCGACCCCCCGGGGCGGUAGGUAUCGACCCUCCGGGGCGGUAGGUAUCGACCCUCCGGGGCAGUAGGUAUCGACCCUCCGGGGCAGUAGGUAUCGACCCUCCGGGGCCGUAGGUAUCGACCCUCCGGGGCCGUAGGUAUCAACGUUCUCAGAGUAGGCGUGGUGCUAUAGGGUCAGUUCCCCUCUACAGGCAAUCUAAAGGCGUCCACAUACAUAGGUUGGGUUUGCUC
Oncorhynchus tshawytscha (Chinook salmon) is the source of this 694-nucleotide long non-coding RNA. NCBI's taxonomy places the organism in Eukaryota, Metazoa, Chordata, Actinopteri, Salmoniformes, Salmonidae. The record is from Ensembl.